GAGGAAGGUGGGGAUGACGUCAAGUCCUCAUGGCCUUUAUGUCCAGGGCUACACACGUGCUACAAUGGCCGGUACAAACCGCUGCAAACCCGCGAGGGUGAGCCAAUCGGAGAAAGCCGGCCUCAGUUCGGAUUGCAGUCUGCAACUCGACUGCAUGAAGCUGGAAUCGCUAGUAAUCGCGGAUCAGCAUGCCGCGGUGAUACGUUCCCGGGCCUUGUACACACCGCCCGUCACAUCACGAAAGUGGGUUGUACUAGAAGCAGGUGAGCUAACCGCAAGGAAGCAGCCUUCCAAGGUGUGAUUCAUGAUUGGGGUGAAGUCGUAACAAGGUAGCCGUAA
Molecule: ribosomal RNA, 339 nt
Filed under: uncultured bacterium
Lineage: Bacteria
Description: bacterial SSU rRNA
Rfam family: Bacterial small subunit ribosomal RNA
Source: RNAcentral